GACGAACGCUGGCGGCGUGCCUAACACAUGCGAGUCGAGCGAAUGAAGUUCCUUCGGGACCGGAUUUAGCGGCGGACGGGUGAGUAACACGUGGGCAACCUGCCUCAUAGAGGGGAAUAGCCUUCCGAAAGGGAGAUUAAUACCGCAUAAGAUUGUAGUACCGCAUGGUACAGCAAUUAAAGGAGCAAUCCGCUAUGAGAUGGGCCCGCGGCGCAUUAGCUAGUUGGUGAGGUAACGGCUCACCAAGGCGACGAUGCGUAGCCGACCUGAGAGGGUGAUCGGCCACAUUGGGACUGAGACACGGCCCAGACUCCUACGGGAGGCAGCAGUGGGGAAUAUUGCACAAUGGGGGAAACCCUGAUGCAGCAACGCCGCGUGAGUGAUGACGGCCUUCGGGUUGUAAAGCUCUGUCUUCAGGGACGAUAAUGACGGUACCUGAGGAGGAAGCCACGGCUAACUACGUG
This 464-nucleotide ribosomal RNA is filed under the name uncultured bacterium. Its description in RNAcentral is "partial 16S ribosomal RNA". It matches the Rfam family "Bacterial small subunit ribosomal RNA", at positions 28 to 507 of the family's 1533-position model. The record is from RNAcentral.